RNAcentral lists this ribosomal RNA (465 nucleotides) under uncultured bacterium. RNAcentral's name for it is "partial 16S ribosomal RNA". It matches the Rfam family "Bacterial small subunit ribosomal RNA", at positions 339 to 795 of the family's 1533-position model. The record is from RNAcentral.
CUACGGGGGCAGCAGCCGAGAAUAGUCUACAAUGGGGGAAACCCUGAUAGUGCGACGCCGCGUGAACGAAGAAGCUUUUCGGAGUGUAAAGUUCUUUUCUGUAUGAGCAAUGCUUUAUUGUUUAAGAGAUAAUAGAGAGAGAUAUUAGUACAGGAAUAAGCCACGGCUAACUCCGUGCCAGCAGCCGCGGUAAUACGGGGGUGGCAAGCGUUGUCCGGAAUUACUAGGCGUAAAGGGCAGGUAGGCGGAUAUUCAAGUCAGGCGUUAAAGGCAUCAGCUCAACUGGUGUACGGCGUUUGAAACUGGAUAUCUAGAGUCAGGUAGAGGUAGUUGGAAUUCCUAGUGUAGCGGUGGCAUGCGCAGAGAUUAGGAAGAACACCAAAGGCGAAGGCAAUCUACUGGGCCAUGACUGACGCUAAACUGCGAAGGUGUGGGUAUCAAACAGGAUUAGAUACCCGAGUAGUC